This 2140-nucleotide ribosomal RNA is filed under the name Plasmodium falciparum 58.1. Its description in RNAcentral is "SSU rRNA". It matches the Rfam family "Eukaryotic small subunit ribosomal RNA". Lineage: Eukaryota; Apicomplexa; Aconoidasida; Haemosporida; Plasmodiidae. The record is from RNAcentral.
CCUGGUUGAUCUUGCCAGUAGUCAUAUGCUUGUCUCACAGAUUAAGCCAUGCAAGUGAAAGUACAUAUGUAAGUAAUAUAUUGAAACUGCGAACGGCUCAUUAAAACAGUUAUAAUCUACUUGAUGUUUUUAAUAUAAGGAUAACUACGGAAAAUCUGUAGCUAAUACUUGUGAAAAUACCUUUUGAUAUAUACAUAUGUAUGUAUCAUUAAGGUAUGUAUUUGUUAGAUAUAAGAAUAAAAUAAAUAUAAUUGAAUUAUAACAAAGAAGAAACACAUAAAAUAUGUGUAUUAUCAAUCGAGUAUCUGACCUAUCAGCUUUUGAUGUUAGGGUAUUGACCUAACAUGGCUAUGACGGGUAACGGGGAAUUAGAGUUCGAUUCCGGAGAGGGAGCCUGAGAAAUAGCUACCACAUCUAAGGAAGGCAGCAGGCGCGUAAAUUACCCAAUUCUAAAAAAGAGAGGUAGUGACAAGAAAUAACAAUACAAUAUCGAAAAAUGAUUUUGUAAUUGGAAUGAUAGGAAUUUACAAGGUUCCUAGAGAAACAAUUGGAGGGCAAGUCUGGUGCCAGCAGCCGCGGUAAUUCCAGCUCCAAUAGCAUAUAUUAAAAUUGUUGCAGUUAAAACGUUCGUAGUUGAAUAUUAAAGAAUCCGAUGUUUCAUUUAAACUGGUUUGGGAAAACCAAAUAUAUUAUAUAUUUUGCUUUGUUCAAAAUAAGGUUUUCUAAUAAAUUAUGUUUUUAUCAGAUAUGACAGAAUCUUUUUUAAAAUCUCUUCAAUAUGCUUUUAUUGCUUUUGAGAGGUUUUGUUACUUUGAGUAAAAUUAAGUGUUCAUAACAGACGGGUAGUCAUGAUUGAGUUCAUUGUGUUUGAAUACUACAGCAUGGAAUAACAAAUAUGAAUAAGCUAAUUAUUUUUUUUUUUCAUAAUUUUUUUUGAUAUUCUUAUUAGCUUAGUUACGAUUAAUAGGAGUAGCUUUGGGGGCAUUCGUAUUCAGAUGUCAGAGGUGAAAUUCUAAGAUUUUCUGGAGACGGACUACUGCGAAAGCAUUUGCCUAAUCUAUUUCCAUUAAUCAAGAACGAAAGUUAAGGGAGUGAAGACGAUCAGAUACCGUCGUAAUCUUAACCAUAAACUAUACCGACUAGGUGUUGGAUGAAUAUAAAAAAUAUAUAAAUAUGUAGCAUUUCUUAGGGAAUGUUGAUUUUAUAUUAGAAUUGCUUCCUUCAGUACCUUAUGAGAAAUCAAAGUCUUUGGGUUCUGGGGCGAGUAUUCGCGCAAGCGAGAAAGUUAAAAGAAUUGACGGAAGGGCACCACCAGGCGUGGAGCUUGCGGCUUAAUUUGACUCAACACGGGAAAACUCACUAGUUUAAGACAAGAGUAGGAUUGACAGAUUAAUAGCUCUUUCUUGAUUUCUUGGAUGGUGAUGCAUGGCCGUUUUUAGUUCGUGAAUAUGAUUUGUCUGGUUAAUUCCGAUAACGAACGAGAUCUUAACCUGCUAAUUAGCGGUAAGUACACUAUAUUUUUAUUUGAAAUUGAAUAUAGGUAAUUAUACAUGUUUAUUCAGUGUUCAAAUUAGGAUAUUUUUUUAUUAAAAUAUUCUUUUCCCUGUUCUACUAUAAUAAUUUGUUUUUUUUUACUCUAUUUCUCUCUUCUUUUAAGAAUGUACUUGUUUGAUUAAAUAAAGCUUCUUAGAGGAACAGUGUGUAUCUAACACAAGGAAGUUUAAGGCAACAACAGGUCUGUGAUGUCCUUAGAUAAACUAGGCUGCACGCGUGCUACAAUGAUAUAUAUAACAAGUUGUUAAAAAUGUACUUAUAAAUAAGUGUGUACAAUUUUUCCUGUACUGAAAAGUAUAGGUAAUCUUUAUCAGUAUAUAUCGUAAUUGGGAUAGAUUAUUGCAAUUAUUAAUCUUGAACGAGGAAUGCCUAGUAAGCAUGAUUCAUUAGAUUGUGCUGACUACGUCCCUGCCCUUUGUACACACCGCCCGUCGCUCCUACCGAUUGAAAGAUAUGAUAAAUUGUUUGGAUAUGAAUUAAAAUAAUGAAAUUUUAUAUUUCUGAUUUUUUCUAGAAGAACUGUAAAUCCUAUCUUUUAAAGGAAGGAGAAGUCGUAACAAGGUUUCCGUAGGUGAACCUGCGGAAG